UGGAACCCUAUGCGGCAGCAUGUUGAGCGUGUCCUCAGGUACGGGCCUGAUCAAAACAUAUACUGAAUCCUUAUUAGCGUACAUAUACGUAGAAAUCAAGUUUCUAAGACGUUUGGCAUAUAUUUUCCCAAGAGACUAAAGAAUAUGGAAAUGUCUUGGUCUCCACGUAUAUGAAUACGAUGCAGCACUUUAUCUGCAAAAAUGAAUUUCAUGAAGGUUUGAAUCUGUACAAUGAAAUGGUUAUAUUCAGCAAAAUUGUACCCUGAUUCACAAGAGUUCACCAACUUUUAUCAUCCUCGGAUGAUUGGUGCUCUAUACAAGAAAUCUGGAGUAACUCAAUUUACAGUUUGCACCUGACCUUGUUGUGGAAGUUUUACAUAAUUGUAGCCUUAAUUAAUUUUGGCAUUGCCUUGAGUUAAUCGCCUAAGUUAUACUCACAAUGAACAAUCAUACAACAUGGCCAUGAAAAUUGCUUACUUUACGCAGAUGAGAAGCCUAUUUUCUGAGAUGAGAAUAAGAGGUUGCUUUAUAACAGCAUAAGAUAAGAAGCAAAUUUUAGAAGAUUCAUGUUACCUGAAUAUCUCGUAGUGAAGCUCCUUUCGUCUCAGCUCACUCGCUUUUACAGCACCAUCUACUAAUGUUUUACUCCGAAGAAGAAGAAGAAGAAGAAGAAGAAGAAGAAGAAGAAGAAGAAAAAGAAAGAUUAGUCAAGCUAGACAUACCAGCAUUAAUUGUUCUUGAUUAUAUGAGUGUAGGGAUGUCCUAUUUUUAAUUUGUUUUCUAGUUAUUCUUUUUGUAGCAUCUUAGAUAUAUAUACUAGUUAUUUUUUAUGUUACAUGAAGGAAAAUAGAAGAAGAU
This 858-nucleotide long non-coding RNA is filed under the name Salvia miltiorrhiza (redroot sage). Its description in RNAcentral is "long non-coding RNA (SMIL_LNC001623)". Lineage: Eukaryota; Viridiplantae; Streptophyta; Magnoliopsida; Lamiales; Lamiaceae. The record is from RNAcentral.